Molecule: long non-coding RNA, 2200 nt
Organism: Takifugu rubripes (torafugu)
Lineage: Eukaryota; Metazoa; Chordata; Actinopteri; Tetraodontiformes; Tetraodontidae
Source: Ensembl
CCGGCAUCCAGAAGGAGGGCGUGUGGAACCUUCUCUGAAAUGAGUACAGCAGCUGCUAACAUUUUCAACCAUGACACGUCCCGUAGCCGCGAGCCUUCCGGCUACAUAAGAAUGAUGUCCCUCACCACCUCUGCAGGCCGUGAAUACCUUCAGGUCAAUACUUCAUUUUUGACAGUUGUGGGGAGGUGUGAGCUAAAAGAAGGAUAGUUAUUACCCUAAAAAGGGUUCAACAUAUCAAUUCGUGUGUGUGUGUGUGUGUGUGUGCGUGUGUGUGUGUGGACUGGGACUCUUUUGCAUGUUCCUCUUCAUCUCAGAUACCUGCCGUCAUCGGCGAGCUGAGCCGAUCUCUGAUCUCAGCUCAGGAAAGGACUCAUUCAGUAUCCUGCAGACGUCGGCUCAUAAAUAUGAAACAUCUUUGAUGGUAUCGGGGCAGCUCUGUUGUGGGAGCAGCUCAGUCCGACACUGUUUGGACCGAUAAAGCCCUCGCGCUCGGCCGUCCCGCUUCCCAACCGUUCCGAUCCACUUUUUAUUUAAAUCGGCCUUCCGGGAGUUACCGGGCAGCCGCUUCUCAGAAUCAAUCAAAGAUGGUCGCAUGUGAAAAUAAAAUGCGACAUUAUGGGCAGGAAAGACAAACAAAGGUGGCUGUUUCCCAUCAGCGAGGAGUGAGAAGGUCGCAUAUCUGACAGCUUUGGUCGGCACCCCCGGCAUUACCGGUGGUCAUUACACAUGCAAAUGCCGUCCGCAGAGGUGUUUUAUGACACCUGCUCCUGUUUUCUAGGACAGCCUUGUCAAACGUCCCACGGAAGACUUGCAAAUCAAGAUGGAAAACAAGGGCUGGGCGGACAGAUGGAAUCUCUGCCCCCCGUAACACCGAAGUCUGCGUGUUUAAUGGACGCCGUUGGAGCUUAAGAAGCUCCGCGCGGAGCUGACGCGUCUGUAAACAGGAGCCUGCCUGCGCUACAGCUCCAACAUGCACAGACUUGCAUCUGCAGAGCCUUUCGGGGAGGAGAAGAGAAGAAGAGGAGAAACUCAAACUGGGAGCGUUGUGUUCCUCUUUUCAACUCGUGGUUUCCAAACAUACUUUGGUCUUUUUUGGCAACAGAGAGUCCAUAUUGUAAGUAUGCGCUCCGACGUGGCUUUAAGCUUUUGAGGCUUGUUUUUCUGACACUAAAGUUUGGAACGCUUCCCUUCUCCUCUGCUCCGUCUCCUCCUGCCUUCAGGACGGACUUUUGACGUGUCCGGCCAAGCAGCACAUCGCUAACACAACCUGGACGCUCGUGCUAAUCCAGUAGUUGUAAGUGUUUGUGAUGGCGCCUCUGUGAUCCGCAGUUUGUAUUGGAAGUUUCUCCCUUUGUGCCGCUCUGUUCGGCUCAGAACGCCUCCAGCGCUCUUCCUCUUCCUUCCUUUUCCUUCCGACAGCGACGCGAAAAAAAAAUCCAGCGCGAGUUCUUUGAGCGCUGUCUGCACGGCCCUCGAUCCGGUUGGAAAUAAAAGGGAUGACAGCUCUGGGGCACAUUGUCUCAGCUCUCUUUUGUUCUGAGAGACUUUCUGAUUACCUUUUGCUCCAGAACUCAGAGCUGCUCUCUCUGCAGUACCCUGAUCAAUCUGAUGUUUCAACAACGGGGCGGCAGAAUUAGCCGCAAUGGCUGUUUAAGAAAGGAUCCUGGCAGCGCUUGGACCUGAUCUCCACUGCAGACUUUCAUUUAAUGCAGACGUGUGUGUCCGCGGUGCUGUGAGCUGUGUGAGGUCAGACCUGCCUCAGAAAGCUACAGAUUUCUGAACGAGGGCAAAAAUCAUAUCAGACUCUGAUGUGACCGCACGUGGGAGCUGCUUCCACGUUCUGAUCCGAUAUUAACACGUUCGGCAUCAGCGCCGACACACAGACACAAUCUAUACACACUUAUUCUGCUGUGCUCAGUUUGACAUUUGACCUUUGACCUCUCCUAUGUUCAAUUCUGAUUCAGUCAACCCCAUCUGACAUCUAGCUUUGAAACCCCUCCUGGGCUACCACCUUAUCGUGGUGGAGGGGUUUGCGUGUCCCAAUGAUCCUAGGAGCUCCGCCUGGGGCUUUAUGCUCCUGGUAGGGCCACCCAUGGCAAACAGGUCCUAGGUGGGGGAACAAGUUUCCCUUGCCUGGAUGCGGGUCACCGGGGGCCCCUCCUGGAGCCAGGCCUGGGGGCGGGGCACGUUGGCGAGUGCC